Molecule: ribosomal RNA, 255 nt
Filed under: uncultured bacterium
Lineage: Bacteria
Description: partial 16S ribosomal RNA
Rfam family: Bacterial small subunit ribosomal RNA
Source: RNAcentral
UACGGGGGGAGCAAGCGUUGUUCGGAUUUACUGGGCGUAAAGGGCGCGUAGGCGGUCGUGACAAGUCACUUGUGAAAUCUCCGGGCUUAACUCGGAACGGUCAAGUGAUACUGUCGGACUAGAGUACAGAAGGGGCAACUGGAAUUCUCGGUGUAGCGGUGAAAUUCGUAGAUAUCGAGAGGAACACCGGUGGCGAAGGCGGCCUUCUGGACAGUGACUGACGCUGGAGACGCGAAAGCGUGGGGAGCAAACAGG